GAUGAACGCUGGCGGCGUGCCUAAUACAUGCAAGUCGAGCGAACAGAUGAGGAGCUUGCUCCGCUGACGUUAGCGGCGGACGGGUGAGUAACACGUGGAUAACCUACCUAUAAGACUGGGAUAACUUCGGGAAAGCGGAGCUAAUACCGGAUAAUAUAUUGAACCGCAUGGGUCAAUAGUGAAAGACGGUUUUGCGGUCACGUAUAGAUGGAUCCGCGCCGCAUUAGCGGGUUGGUAAGGUAACGGCUUACCAAGGCAACGAUGCGUAGCCGCACUGAGAGGGUGACCAGCCGCCCUGGGAGUGGGACACGGUCCAGAGGCCUACGGGAGGCAGCAGUAGGGAAUCUUCCGCAAAGGGCGGAAGACUGACGGAGAAACGCCGCGUGAGUGAUGAAGGUCUUCGGAUCGUAAAACUCUGUUAUUAGGGAGGAACAAAUGUGUAAGUAACUAUGCACGUCUUGACGGUACCUAAUCAGAGAGCCACGGCUAACUACGUG
This 497-nucleotide ribosomal RNA is filed under the name uncultured bacterium. RNAcentral describes it as "partial 16S ribosomal RNA". It matches the Rfam family "Bacterial small subunit ribosomal RNA", at positions 28 to 507 of the family's 1533-position model. The record is from RNAcentral.